CCCUUAGAUGUUCUGGGCCGCACGCGCGCUACACUGAUGCAUUCAACGAGUUUCUUCCUAGUCCGAGAGGAAUGGGUAACCUUUUGAAAGUGUAUCGUGAUAGGGAUAGACUAUUGCAAUUAUUGGUCUUCAACGAGGAAUUCCUAGUAGACGUAGUUCAUCAGACUGCAUCGAUUACGUCCCUGCCCUUUGUACACACCGCCCGUCGCUCCUACCGAUUGAAUGCUCAGGUGAGCCAUUCGGACUUUCAUCAUGCUGGUUUCCAGUUUUGAUGAAGGAAAGUCUUGCGAACCUUAUCAUUUAGAGGAAGGAGAAGUCGUAACA
RNAcentral lists this ribosomal RNA (324 nucleotides) under uncultured eukaryote. RNAcentral describes it as "partial 18S ribosomal RNA". It matches the Rfam family "Eukaryotic small subunit ribosomal RNA", at positions 1470 to 1796 of the family's 1831-position model. The record is from RNAcentral.